CGGGACACGUGGUAUCCUGUCUGAAUAUGGGGGGACCAUCCUCCAAGGCUAAAUACUCCUGACUGACCGAUAGUGAACCAGUACCGUGAGGGAAAGGCGAAAAGAACCCCGGCGAGGGGAGUGAAAAAGAACCUGAAACCGUGUACGUACAAGCAGUGGGAGCACGCUUAGGCGUGUGACUGCGUACCUUUUGUAUAAUGGGUCAGCGACUUAUAUUCUGUAGCAAGGUUAACCGAAUAGGGGAGCCGAAGGGAAACCGAGUCUUAACUGGGCGUUAAGUUGCAGGGUAUAGACCCGAAACCCGGUGAUCUAGCCAUGGGCAGGUUGAAGGUUGGGUAACACUAACUGGAGGACCGAACCGACUAAUGUUGAAAAAUUAGCGGAUGACUUGUGGCUGGGGGUGAAAGGCCAAUCAAACCGGGAGAUAGCUGGUUCUCCCCGAAAGCUAUUUAGGUAGCGCCUCGUGAAUUCAUCUCCGGGGGUAGAGCACUGUUUCGGCAAGGGGGUCAUCCCGACUUACCAACCCGAUGCAAACUGCGAAUACCGGAGAAUGUUAUCACGGGAGACACACGGCGGGUGCUAACGUCCGUCGUGAAGAGGGAAACAACCCAGACCGCCAGCUAAGGUCCCAAAGUCAUGGUUAAGUGGGAAACGAUGUGGGAAGGCCCAGACAGCCAGGAUGUUGGCUUAGAAGCAGCCAUCAUUUAAAGAAAGCGUAAUAGCUCACUGGUCGAGUCGGCCUGCGCGGAAGAUGUAACGGGGCUAAACCAUGCACCGAAGCUGCGGCAGCGACGCUGAUGCGUUGUUGGGUAGGGGAGCGUUCUGUAAGCCUGCGAAGGUGUGCUGUGAGGCAUGCUGGAGGUAUCAGAAGUGCGAAUGCUGACAUAAGUAACGAUAAAGCGGGUGAAAAGCCCGCUCGCCGGAAGACCAAGGGUUCCUGUCCAACGUUAAUCGGGGCA
RNAcentral lists this ribosomal RNA (959 nucleotides) under Escherichia coli. RNAcentral describes it as "partial 23S ribosomal RNA". It matches the Rfam family "Bacterial large subunit ribosomal RNA", at positions 418 to 1376 of the family's 2925-position model. Lineage: Bacteria; Pseudomonadati; Pseudomonadota; Gammaproteobacteria; Enterobacterales; Enterobacteriaceae. The record is from RNAcentral.